Molecule: transfer RNA, 74 nt
Filed under: Actinomycetota bacterium
Lineage: Bacteria; Bacillati; Actinomycetota
Also listed under: 1 other name
Description: tRNA-Leu
Rfam family: tRNA
About the family: Transfer RNA (tRNA) molecules are approximately 80 nucleotides in length. Their secondary structure includes four short double-helical elements and three loops (D, anti-codon, and T loops).
Source: RNAcentral
GCCCCCGUGGCCCAACGGGCAGAGGCAGGCGACUUAAAAUCGCUACAGUGCGAGUUCGAAUCUCGUCGGGGGCA